AGUGAAGCGGCAACAGCUCAAAUUUGAAAUCUGGCACUUUCAGUGUCCGAGUUGUAAUUUGUAGAGGAUGUUUCGGUCACGACCUCGGGAUAAAUUUCUUGGAACAGAAUGUCAUAGAGGGUGAGAACCCCGUCUUGACUCGAGUGUACGGGCCAUGUGAAACUCCUUCGACGAGUCGAGUUGUUUGGGAAUGCAGCUCAAAAUGGGUGGUAAAUUUCAUCUAAAGCUAAAUAUUGGCCAGAGACCGAUAGCGCACAAGUAGAGUGAUCGAAAGAUGAAAAGCACUUUGAAAAGAGAGUUAACAGUAUGUGAAAUUGUUGAAAGGGAAGCGCUUGCAACCAGACUUGAGCGCGGCGGUUCCCCCUGGCUUUUGCUUGGGUUACUCCGUCGUGUCCAGGCCAACAUCGGUUUCGGGGGUUGGUUAAAGGCCUUGGGAAUGUAUCUACCCUUCGGGGUCGACUUAUAGCCCAGGGUGUCAUGCAACCUCCCGGGACCGAGGAACGCGCUUCGGCUCGGAUGUUGGCGUAAUGGUUGUCAGCGACCCGUCUUGAAACACGGACCAAGGAGUCUAACAACUAUGCGAGUGUUCGGGUGUUAAACCCUUGCGCGUAAUGAAAGUGAACGGAGGUAAGAAGCUUCGGCUGCAUUAUCGACCGAUCCUGAAGUUUACGGAUGGAUUUGAGUAAGAGCAUAGCUGUUGGGACCCGAAAGAUGGUGAACUAUGCGUGAAUAGGGUGAAGCCAGAGGAAACUCUGGUGGAGGCUCGCAGCGGUUCUGACGUGCAAAUCGAUCGUCAAAUUUGCGUAUAGGGGCGAAAGACUAAUCGAACCAU
This 832-nucleotide ribosomal RNA is filed under the name Ceramothyrium longivolcaniforme. Its description in RNAcentral is "partial large subunit ribosomal RNA". It matches the Rfam family "Eukaryotic large subunit ribosomal RNA", at positions 92 to 943 of the family's 3401-position model. The record is from RNAcentral. Lineage: Eukaryota; Fungi; Ascomycota; Eurotiomycetes; Chaetothyriales; Chaetothyriaceae.